This is a non-coding RNA of Cucurbita pepo subsp. pepo (vegetable marrow), 884 nucleotides long. The record is from RefSeq and is a predicted model, not a curated record. NCBI's taxonomy places the organism in Eukaryota, Viridiplantae, Streptophyta, Magnoliopsida, Cucurbitales, Cucurbitaceae.
UCCACACAUCUCCAUCCCGCCUGCCAUCAACUGGUUGGGAUCUCGGAGAAUCACAGAAAACAGAACGAAAAUGGAGUCUCUGAUUUUGGUUCCAUCUAGUAGGCACGUUUCAAUCACUAAUUCUUCUGCGUUUUCCUCCGAUUUUUCGGUUCAAUUCACUUCUAGAAAGCGCGCCAUGAACUUCCGAGCUUCUUCUCCGCAGAUUCUCCCUUGCAAUGUCGUUCUGGAGCGAUUAACUCCGAGGUCUUAUAUUCGUUACGGGCCACCGUAUGGUGAUCAAGAUGACGAUCCUGAAGAGCAGGUUGAAAGCCUCAGGGUUCCUGAUGCUUGGUCGGUCCCUUCCAAGGCAUUGGAGGAAUCAGAAUGGCUUAGGGUUACCCUGCACAAAUGGCUGGACGAAGAGUACUGUCCAGAGGAAACUAAUGUAGAGAUAAGCAAGGUUGCUGCAAAAUCAUACUACAAUUCUUUGUUAGAGAAGAGGACAGAGCUAGCCGAUAUUUUAUUGAACAUGGCAAGAGAAUUGGAAUCUAUUUCAUAUAAGGAAAGUUUUCAUGGUGCAUUCUCUUCUGCCAAUGCAGCAGUGAACUUAAUUGCUCAAAGAAUAGAGCUGUCUUAACUGUUUCAUCCACAUUUUUCAAAAUCCUGCAAGUUUGUCUCCAAGACCUCAACUCUUUCUCUGAAAGGCAUAGCACUUUCGGAAAUGCUUUCAACUGGUGGUGGUGGCGGCUCGAAGGCAAAGCUAGAAUUUGUAGAAGAUCUCUCUUCCCUCUAGCCUAUGGGUUGUAUUCCAUUCUUUCUUCAUUGAAACAAGUUUGUUUCUUAUACAUGUACAAGACAGAAAAUAAAGAGCGCUAGCAUGUCAAACCUACAUGCUACACGUGCAA